GACGAGCGGCGGACGGGUGAGUAAUGCAUAGGAAUCUGCCCAGUAGUGGGGGAUAGCCCGGGGAAACCCGGAUUAAUACCGCAUACGCCCUACGGGGGAAAGCAGGGGAUCUUCGGACCUUGCGCUAUUGGAUGAGCCUAUGUCGGAUUAGCUUGUUGGUGGGGUAAUGGCUCACCAAGGCGACGAUCCGUAGCUGGUCUGAGAGGAUGAUCAGCCACAUCGGGACUGAGACACGGCCCGAACUCCUACGGGAGGCAGCAGUGGGGAAUAUUGGACAAUGGGGGCAACCCUGAUCCAGCCAUGCCGCGUGUGUGAAGAAGGCUUUCGGGUUGUAAAGCACUUUCAGUGAGGAGGAAAACCUUAUGGCUAAUACCCAUGAGGCUUGACGUUACUCACAGAAGAAGCACCGGCUAACUCCGUGCCAGCAGCCGCGGUAAUACGGAGGGUGCAAGCGUUAAUCGGAAUUACUGGGCGUAAAGCGCGCGUAGGUGGUUUGAUAAGCGAGAUGUGAAAGCCCCGGGCUUAACCUGGGAACGGCAUUUCGAACUGUCAGGCUAGAGUGUGGUAUAGGGUAGUGGAAUUUCCUGUGUAGCGGUGAAAUGCGUAUAUAUAGGAA
Molecule: ribosomal RNA, 616 nt
Filed under: uncultured Gammaproteobacteria bacterium
Lineage: Bacteria; Pseudomonadati; Pseudomonadota; Gammaproteobacteria
Description: bacterial SSU rRNA
Rfam family: Bacterial small subunit ribosomal RNA
Source: RNAcentral